This 55-nucleotide ribosomal RNA is filed under the name Clostridium magnum DSM 2767. RNAcentral's name for it is "16S rRNA. Bacterial SSU". Lineage: Bacteria; Bacillati; Bacillota; Clostridia; Eubacteriales; Clostridiaceae. The record is from RNAcentral.
CUGGCUCAGGACGAACGCUGGCGGCGUGCCUAACACAUGCAAGUCGAGCGAUGAA